AUGAACGCUGGCGGCGUGCCUAAUACAUGCCAGUCGAGCGAACAGACGAGGAGCUUGCUCCUCUGACGUUAGCGGCGGACGGGUGAGUAACACGUGGAUAACCUACCUAUAAGACUGGGAUAACUUCGGGAAACCGGAGCUAAUACCGGAUAAUAUAUUGAACCGCAUGGUUCAAUAGUGAAAGACGGUUUUGCUGUCACUUAUAGAUGGAUCCGCGCCGCAUUAGCUAGUUGGUAAGGUAACGGCUUACCAAGGCGACGAUGCGUAGCCGACCUGAGAGGGUGAUCGGCCACACUGGAACUGAGACACGGUCCAGACUCCUACGGGAGGCAGCAGUAGGGAAUCUUCCGCAAUGGGCGAAAGCCUGACGGAGCAACGCCGCGUGAGUGAUGAAGGUCUUCGGAUCGUAAAACUCUGUUAUUAGGGAAGAACAAAUGUGUAAGUAACUAUGCACGUCCUGACGGUACCUAAUCAGAAAGCCACGGCUAACUACGUG
RNAcentral lists this ribosomal RNA (496 nucleotides) under uncultured bacterium. RNAcentral describes it as "partial 16S ribosomal RNA". It matches the Rfam family "Bacterial small subunit ribosomal RNA", at positions 29 to 507 of the family's 1533-position model. The record is from RNAcentral.